UCGACGGUAACGGAAGCAGCUUGCUGCUUCGCUGACGAGUGGCGGACGGGUGAGUAAUGUCUGGGAAACUGCCUGAUGGAGGGGGAUAACUACUGGAAACGGUAGCUAAUACCGCAUAACGUCGCAAGACCAAAGAGGGGGACCUUAGGGCCUCUUGCCAUCGGAUGUGCCCAGAUGGGAUUAGCUAGUAGGUGGGGUAACGGCUCACCUAGGCGACGAUCCCUAGCUGGUCUGAGAGGAUGACCAGCCACACUGGAACUGAGACACGGUCCAGACUCCUACGGGAGGCAGCAGUGGGGAAUAUUGCACAAUGGGCGCAAGCCUGAUGCAGCCAUGCCGCGUGUAUGAAGAAGGCCUUCGGGUUGUAAAGUACUUUCAGCGGGGAGGAAGGGAGUAAAGUUAAUACCUUUGCUCAUUGACGUUACCCGCAGAAGAAGCACCGGCUAACUCCGUGCCAGCAGCCGCGGUAAUACGGAGGGUGCAAGCGUUAAUCGGAAUUACUGGGCGUAAAG
This 512-nucleotide ribosomal RNA is filed under the name uncultured bacterium. RNAcentral describes it as "bacterial SSU rRNA". It matches the Rfam family "Bacterial small subunit ribosomal RNA", at positions 62 to 565 of the family's 1533-position model. The record is from RNAcentral.